Molecule: ribosomal RNA, 278 nt
Filed under: uncultured bacterium
Lineage: Bacteria
Description: partial 16S ribosomal RNA
Rfam family: Bacterial small subunit ribosomal RNA
Source: RNAcentral
AACGAACGCUGGCGGCAGGCCUAACACAUGCAAGUCGAGCGAAGCCUUCGGGCUUAGCGGCGGACGGGUUAGUAACGCGUGGGAACGUACCCUUUUCUGCGGAAUAGCCUCUGGAAACGGAGAGUAAUACCGCAUACGCCCUUCGGGGGAAAGAUUUAUCGGAGAAGGAUCGGCCCGCGUUAGAUUAGGUAGUUGGUGGGGUAACGGCCUACCAAGCCUACGAUCUAUAGCUGGUUUGAGAGGAUGAUCAGCAACACUGGGACUGAGACACGGCCCAG